UGGAGGCAGCAGUGGGGAAUAUUGGGCAAUGGGCGAAAGCCUGACCCAGCCACGCCGCGUGAGUGAUGAAGGCCUUCGGGUCGUAAAGCUCUGUGGGGAGGGACGAAACAGGUGCUGGCUAAUAUCCAGCGCCCCUGACGGUACCUCCUUAGCAAGCACCGGCUAACUCCGUGCCAGCAGCCGCGGUAAUACGGAGGGUGCAAACGUUGCUCGGAAUCAUUGGGCGUAAAGCGCACGUAGGCGGUCUGCUAUGUCGGGUGUGAAAUCCCUCGGCUUAACCGAGGAAGUGCAUUCGAAACUGGCAGACUUGAAUACUCAAGAGGGUCUCGGAAUUCCCGGUGUAGAGGUGAAAUUCGUAGAUAUCGGGAGGAACACCAGUGGCGAAGGCGGAGACCUGGGGAGAUAUUGACGCUGAGGUGCGAAAGCGUGGGGAGCAAACAGGAUUAGAUACCCGAGUAGUCG
This 462-nucleotide ribosomal RNA is filed under the name uncultured bacterium. RNAcentral's name for it is "bacterial SSU rRNA". It matches the Rfam family "Bacterial small subunit ribosomal RNA", at positions 343 to 796 of the family's 1533-position model. The record is from RNAcentral.